GACGAACGCUGGCGGCGUGCUUAACACAUGCAAGUCGAACGGAAAGGCCCUGCUUUUGUGGGGUGCUCGAGUGGCGAACGGGUGAGUAACACGUGAGUAACCUGCCCUUGACUUUGGGAUAACUUCAGGAAACUGGGGCUAAUACCGGAUAGGAGCUCCUGCUGCAUGGUGGGGGUUGGAAAGUUUCGGCGGUUGGGGAUGGACUCGCGGCUUAUCAGCUUGUUGGUGGGGUAGUGGCUUACCAAGGCUUUGACGGGUAGCCGGCCUGAGAGUGUGACCGGCCACAUUGGGACUGAGAUACGGCCCAGACUCCUACGGGAGGCAGCAGUGGAGAAUAUUGCACAAUGGGCGGAAGCCUGAUGCAGCAACGCCGCGUGCGGGAUGACGGCCUUCGGGUUGUAAACCGCUUUCGCCUGUGACGAAGCGUGAGUGACGGUAAUGGGUAGAGAAGCACCGGCUAACUACGUG
RNAcentral lists this ribosomal RNA (468 nucleotides) under uncultured bacterium. Its description in RNAcentral is "partial 16S ribosomal RNA". It matches the Rfam family "Bacterial small subunit ribosomal RNA", at positions 28 to 507 of the family's 1533-position model. The record is from RNAcentral.